RNAcentral lists this ribosomal RNA (552 nucleotides) under Lampasopsis cruentata. Its description in RNAcentral is "partial 12S ribosomal RNA". Lineage: Eukaryota; Metazoa; Mollusca; Gastropoda; Littorinimorpha; Bursidae. The record is from RNAcentral.
GGGCAAGAGUUCAACAUAUGUAUAUCAUGGUAAAAAGGCAGUUAGAUAAGAAAUACCAUCAGUUUACUCAUUCUUUAUGUAAAGGUAAAAUUUAGAUAUAAAUGAAUAAUUUAAUGUAAGUUGACAGAAAUUGAAUCUGCGACAGCCUUGAGGGAAACUGGGAUUAGAUACCCCAUUAUUCCUGGUCAUAAAUGAAUAAUGAUUUACCAGAGUACUAUGAAUCUUUAAUAAAAUUUAAAACUCAAAGGGCUUGGCGGUGUUUUAGACCUCUCAGGGGAACCUGUCUCAUAAUCGACAAUCCACGUUAAACCUAACCUCUAUUUGCAAUUCAGUUUGYAUACCGUCGUCGUCAGGUAACUUUUAAAAAACAAGAAGUUGGCAAUAAAAUUAAUUAAAUUUAAACGUCAGAUCAAGGUGCAGCCUAUAUAGAGGUGAGGAUGGGUUACAAUUAAAAUUUAUAAUUACGAAUAGGAUAAUGAAAUAUUUUUCUUAUUGAAGGAGGACUUGAUAGAAAUAUGAUUUAUAUAUAUAAUUUGAAUAAGGCUCUGAAAC